This 465-nucleotide ribosomal RNA is filed under the name Vreelandella stevensii. RNAcentral describes it as "partial 16S ribosomal RNA". It matches the Rfam family "Bacterial small subunit ribosomal RNA", at positions 338 to 795 of the family's 1533-position model. Lineage: Bacteria; Pseudomonadati; Pseudomonadota; Gammaproteobacteria; Oceanospirillales; Halomonadaceae. The record is from RNAcentral.
CCUACGGGAGGAUGCAGUGGGGAAUAUUGGACAAUGGGGGCAACCCUGAUCCAGCCAUGCCGCAUGUGUGAAGAAGGCCCUCGGGUUGUAAAGCACUUUCAGUGAGGAAGAACGCCUGGUGGUUAAUACCCAUCAGGAAAGACAUCACUCACAGAAGAAGCACCGGCUAACUCCGUGCCAGCAGCCGCGGUAAUACGGAGGGUGCGAGCGUUAAUCGGAAUUACUGGGCGUAAAGCGCGCGUAGGUGGCUUGAUAAGCCGGUUGUGAAAGCCCCGGGCUCAACCUGGGAACGGCAUCCGGAACUGUCAAGCUAGAGUGCAGGAGAGGAAGGUAGAAUUCCCGGUGUAGCGGUGAAAUGCGUAGAGAUCGGGAGGAAUACCAGUGGCGAAGGCGGCCUUCUGGACUGACACUGACACUGAGGUGCGAAAGCGUGGGUAGCAAACAGGAUUAGAUACCCGGGUAGUC